Molecule: non-coding RNA, 108 nt
Organism: Acanthosepion pharaonis
Lineage: Eukaryota; Metazoa; Mollusca; Cephalopoda; Sepiida; Sepiidae
Source: the annotation of a GenBank genome assembly
CCACAUCACAUUUAAACAGCGGUUCCCAUAUGAUCAUUGAAGUCAAGCAAUGUUGAGUCUGAUCAGUAUUGAGGUGGGUGACCACUUACAAAUAUCAGCUGCUGUAUG